This 2479-nucleotide ribosomal RNA is filed under the name Drosophila ananassae. RNAcentral's name for it is "eukaryotic LSU rRNA". It matches the Rfam family "Eukaryotic large subunit ribosomal RNA", at positions 34 to 2162 of the family's 3401-position model. The record is from RNAcentral. Lineage: Eukaryota; Metazoa; Arthropoda; Insecta; Diptera; Drosophilidae.
UUAAGCAUAUUAAUUAGGGAGGAAAAGAAACUAACAAGGAUUUUCUUAGUAGCGGCGAGCGAAAAGAAAUCAGUUCAGCACUAAGUCACUUUGUCUAUAUGGCAAAUGUGAGAUGCAGUGUAUGGAGCGUCAAUAUUCUAGUAUGAGAAAUUAACGAUUUAAGUCCUUCUUAAAUGAGGCCAUUUACCCAUAGAGGGUGCCAGGCCCGUAUAACGUUAAUGAUUACUAGAUGAUGUUUCCAAAGAGUCGUGUUGCUUGAUAGUGCAGCACUAAGUGGGUGGUAAACUCCAUCUAAAACUAAAUAUAACCAUGAGACCGAUAGUAAACAAGUACCGUGAGGGAAAGUUGAAAAGAACUCUGAAUAGAGAGUUAAAUAGUACGUGAAACUGCUUAGAGGUUAAGCCCGAUGAACCUGAAUAUCCGUUAUGGAAAAUUCAUCAUUAAAGUUAUAAUAUUUAAACAAUAUUAUACAAAUAAUGUGCAUUUUUUCCAUAUAAGGACAUUGUAAUCUAUUAACAUAUUAAAUUUAUCAUAAAAUAUGGCUUAUAGUUUAUUCAAAUUAUUAUGCUUGCAUUUUAACAUAGAAUAAAUGUCAUUAAUUUGAUAAAGUGUUGAUAGACUAAUAAGAAUACAGUGCGUUAAUUUUUCGGAAUUAUAUAAUGGCAUAAUUAUCAUUGAUUUUUGUGUUUAUUAUAAGCACUUGUAUGAUUAACAAUGCGAAAGAUUCAGGAUACCUUCGGGACCCGUCUUGAAACACGGACCAAGGAGUCUAACAUAUGUGCAAGUUAUUGGGAUAUAAACCUAAUAGCGUAAUUAACUUGACUAAUAAUGGGAUUAGUUUUUUAACUAUUUUAUAGCUAAUUAACACAAUCCCGGGGCGUUCUAUAUAGUUAUGUAUAAUAAUAUUUAUAUUAUUUAUGCCUCUAACUGGAACGUACCUUGAGCAGAUAUGCUGUGACCCGAAAGAUGGUGAACUAUACUUGAUCAGGUUGAAGUCAGGGGAAACCCUGAUGGAAGACCGAAACAGUUCUGACGUGCAAAUCGAUUGUCAGAAUUGAGUAUAGGGGCGAAAGACCAAUCGAACCAUCUAGUAGCUGGUUCCUUCCGAAGUUUCCCUCAGGAUAGCUGGUGCAUUUUAAUGUUAUAUAAAAUAAUCUUAUCUGGUAAAGCGAAUGAUUAGAGGCCUUAGGGUCGAAACGAUCUUAACCUAUUCUCAAACUUUAAAUGGGUAAGAACCUUAACUUUCUUGAUAUGAAGUUUAAGGUUAUGAUAUAUUGUGCCCAGUGGGCCACUUUUGGUAAGCAGAACUGGCGCUGUGGGAUGAACCAAACGUAAUGUUACGGUGCCCAAAUUAACAACUCAUGCAGAAACCAUGAAAGGCGUUGGUUGCUUAAAACAGCAGGACGGUGAUCAUGGAAGUCGAAAUCCGCUAAGGAGUGUGUAACAACUCACCUGCCGAAGCAACUAGCCCUUAAAAUGGAUGGCGCUUAAGUUGUAUACCUAUACAUUACCGCUAAAGUAGAUGAUUUAUAUUACUUGUAAUAUAAAUUUUGAAACUUUAGUGAGUAGGAAGGUACAAUGGUAUGCGUAGAAGUGUUUGGCGUAAGCCUGCAUGGAGCUGCUAUUGGUACAGAUCUUGGUGGUAGUAGCAAAUAAUCGAAUGAGACCUGGAGGACUGAAGUGGAGAAGGGUUUCGUGUGAACAGUGGUUGAUCACGAGUUAGUCGGUCCUAAGUUCAAGGCGAAAGCCGAAAAUUUUCAAGUAAAAAUAAAAUUUACUAUAUGUAAAAAUUAUAUACUUGAAUAAUUUUGAACGAAAGGGAAUACGGUUCCAAUUCCGUAACCUGUUGAGUAUCCGUUUGUUAUUAAAUAUGGGCCUCGUGCUCAUCCUGGCAACAGGAACGACCAUAAAGAAGCCGUCGAGAGAUAUCGGAAGAGUUUUCUUUUCUGUUUUAUAGUCGUACUACCAUGGAAGUCUUUCGCAGAGAGAUAUGGUAGAUGGGCUAGAAGAGCAUGACAUAUACUGUUUGUCGAUUUUUUCUCCUCGGACCUUGAAAAUUUAUGGUGGGGAUACGCAAACUUCUCAACAGGCCGUACCAUAUCCGCAGCUGGUCUCCAAGUUGAAGAGUCUCUAGUCGAUAGAAUAAUGUAGGUAAGGGAAGGUCGGCAAAUUAGAUCCGUAACUUCGGAUAAGGAUGGCUCUGAAGAUUGAGAUAGUCGGGCUGAUUGGGAAACAAUAAUAUGGUUUAUGUGCUCGUUCUGGGUAAAUGAGUUUCGAUCAUUUAUGGUUGUAACUUGUUCCCCGGAUAGUUAGUUACGUAUCCAAUUGUGGAACUUUCUUGCUAAAAUUUUUAAGAAUACUAGUUGGGUCAAACCAAUUAGUUCUUAUUAAUUAUAAUACGAUUAUCAAUUAAAAUCAAAUCAUUCAGAACUGGCACGGACUUGGGGAAUCCGACUGUCUAAUUAAAACAAAGCAUUGU